CAACUUGAGAGUUUGAUCCUGGCUCAGAACGAACGCUGGCGGUAUGCUUAACACAUGCAAGUCGAACGGGCUUAGGGGCAACUCUAAGCUAGUGGCAAACGGGUGAGUAAUGCAGAGGAAUCUACCUAGCAGUAAGGAAUAAUUUUGGGAAACCAAAACUAAUACCAUAUAUUACCGACCUAGUCGGGAAAGAUGCGUCGCUGUUAGAUGAGCCUCUGUCAGAUUAGCUUGUUGGUGAGGUAAAGGCUCACCAAGGCGAUGAUCUGUAGCUGGUCUGAGAGGAUGAUCAGCCACACUGGAACUGAGACACGGUCCAGA
Molecule: ribosomal RNA, 318 nt
Filed under: Pseudomonadota bacterium
Lineage: Bacteria; Pseudomonadati; Pseudomonadota
Description: bacterial SSU rRNA
Rfam family: Bacterial small subunit ribosomal RNA
Source: RNAcentral